UCCCCGUUUGAGCGAGGCAGUCUGUCCAGAGUCCUCGGCAUGACCCGGUAGCAACUGGGAGCGGGGGUUGCGCUCGUUGCGGGACUUAACCCAACAUCUCACGACACGAGCUGACGACAGCCAUGCAGCACCUGUCUUGGAGCUCCGAAGAGGGGCCGUGGUUUCUCACAGCUUUCCCCAAGAUGUCAAGCCCAGGUAAGGUUCUUCGCGUUGCGUCGAAUUAAACCACAUGCUCCACCGCUUGUGCGGGCCCCCGUCAAUUCCUUUGAGUUUCAGCCUUGCGGCCGUACUCCCCAGGCGGGGCACUUAAUGCGUUAGCGCCGGCACCCAGGGGGUCGCUCCCCCAGGCACCUAGUGCCCAUCGUUUACGGCGUGGACUAC
This 381-nucleotide unclassified non-coding RNA is filed under the name uncultured Gemmatimonadaceae bacterium. RNAcentral describes it as "contains 16S-23S intergenic spacer region". Lineage: Bacteria; Pseudomonadati; Gemmatimonadota; Gemmatimonadia; Gemmatimonadales; Gemmatimonadaceae. The record is from RNAcentral.